GAAAUGCGAUAAGUAAUGUGAAUUGCAGAAUUCAGUGAAUCAUCGAAUCUUUGAACGCACCUUGCGCUCCUUGGUAUUCCUUGGAGCAUGCCUGUUUGAGUAUCAUGAAAUCUUCAAAGUAAAUCUUUUGUUAACUCAAUUGGUUUCUACUUUGGUAUUGGAGGUCACUGCAGCUUCACACCUGCUCCUCUUUGUUCAUUAGCUGGAUCUCAGUGUUAUGCUUGGUUCCACUCGGCGUGAUAAGUUAUCUAUCGCUGAGGACACUGUAAAAGGUGGCCAAGGUAAAUGCAGAUGAACCGCUUCUAAUAGUCCAUUGACUUGGACAAUACUUUUAUGAUCUGAUCUCAAAUCAGGUAGGACUACCCGCUGAACUUAAGC
Molecule: unclassified non-coding RNA, 378 nt
Filed under: plant metagenome
Description: partial contains 5.8S ribosomal RNA, internal transcribed spacer 2, and large subunit ribosomal RNA
Rfam family: 5.8S ribosomal RNA (bases 1-105)
Source: RNAcentral